AACGAACGCUGGCGGCAUGCCUAACACAUGCAAGUCGAACGAGACCUUCGGGUCUAGUGGCGCACGGGUGCGUAACGCGUGGGAAUCUGCCCUUGGGUUCGGAAUAACAGUUGGAAACGACUGCUAAUACCGGAUGAUGACGUAAGUCCAAAGAUUUAUCGCCCAGGGAUGAGCCCGCGUAGGAUUAGCUAGUUGGUGGGGUAAAGGCCUACCAAGGCGACGAUCCUUAGCUGGUCUGGGAGGAUGAUCAGCCACACUGGGACUGAGACACGGCCCAGACUCCGACGGGAGGCAGCAGGGGGGAAUAUUGGACAAUGGGCGAAAGCCUGAUCCAGCAAUGGCGCGUGAGUGAUGAAGGCCUUAGGGUUGUAAAGCUCUUUUACCCGGGAUGAUAAUGACAGUACCGGGAGAAUAAGCCCCGGCUAACUCCGUG
Molecule: ribosomal RNA, 433 nt
Filed under: uncultured bacterium
Lineage: Bacteria
Description: partial 16S ribosomal RNA
Rfam family: Bacterial small subunit ribosomal RNA
Source: RNAcentral